Molecule: ribosomal RNA, 465 nt
Filed under: Vreelandella stevensii
Lineage: Bacteria; Pseudomonadati; Pseudomonadota; Gammaproteobacteria; Oceanospirillales; Halomonadaceae
Description: partial 16S ribosomal RNA
Rfam family: Bacterial small subunit ribosomal RNA
Source: RNAcentral
CCUACGGGAGGCUGCAGUGGGGAAUAUUGGACAAUGGGGGGAACCCUGAUCCAGCCAUGCCGCGUGUGUGAAGAAGGCCCUCGGGUUGUAAAGCACUUUCAGUGAGGAAGAACGCCUGGUGGUUAAUACCCAUCAGGAAAGACAUCACUCACAGAAGAAGCACCGGCUAACUCCGUGCCAGCAGCCGCGGUAAUACGGAGGGUGCGAGCGUUAAUCGGAAUUACUGGGCGUAAAGCGCGCGUAGGUGGCUUGAUAAGCCGGUUGUGAAAGCCCCGGGCUCAACCUGGGAACGGCAUCCGGAACUGUCAAGCUAGAGGGCAGGAGAGGAAGGUAGAAUUCCCGGUGUAGCGGUGAAAUGCGUAGAGAUCGGGAGGAAUACCAGUGGCGAAGGCGGCCUUCUGGACUGACACUGACACUGAGGUGCGAAAGCGUGGGUAGCAAACAGGAUUAGAUACCCGAGUAGUC